CGCUAGGGGUGCUGGCGCUUUGCGCCGGCUGAGAGAGGCCCUUGGAACCUGUCCGGAUAAUACCGGCGUAGGGAAGCGGAUGA
Molecule: non-coding RNA, 83 nt
Filed under: human gut metagenome
Description: TPP riboswitch (THI element)
Rfam family: TPP riboswitch aptamer (THI element)
About the family: Vitamin B(1) in its active form thiamin pyrophosphate (TPP) is an essential coenzyme that is synthesised by coupling of pyrimidine and thiazole moieties in bacteria. The previously detected thiamin-regulatory element, thi box was extended, resulting in a new, highly conserved RNA secondary structure, the THI element, which is widely distributed in eubacteria and also occurs in some archaea.
Source: RNAcentral